Molecule: unclassified non-coding RNA, 1683 nt
Filed under: Hevea brasiliensis (rubber tree)
Lineage: Eukaryota; Viridiplantae; Streptophyta; Magnoliopsida; Malpighiales; Euphorbiaceae
Source: RNAcentral
ACUGGUGGCAUCUCAGAUGAUGGUGGGUUCUUUUUUAAAUCACAACUAUUUCAUCACAUUUUCUUGCAUCAUUUUAUCCCAAGUUCAGCCACUAAAAAAAACCCACCAUCAUCUGAGAUGCCACCAGUUUAGCAAAGGUCCUACUUUUCAACGACUUUAGAUACACUAAAUUUUAUGAAAAUUUUUCGCUUUGUUUUUUCUAAAUAUAAAAAUAUCAGAUAUAAUGAGAAAUUGUUCUGAAAAACAAAGCCAUGUUGUAGGUUGCCCAUUCAAAGUCUAAAAUUACUAUAGCCUCCUAGACCAGAAGAUCCAUAUCCACCAUAUGAUUGUCCUGACAAAGAAUACCGCUUGCUGUCCAUCUGAGAGUACACAGACCUCAGUCCAGUGUCAUAGUUGCUAUAGCUGCUGUUGACUAAUUCUCUGCGAUCGCUUAAAAAUUCCUGAAUCAGUUGUAGAGCCAUCUGAACCUGUGAUGACGUGCCUUUGAUCUCCACAAUUAUUUCAUCAGGCAGUCCCCUGCUUUCUUGCACAGUUAUUAUGGCUCCACUAGCGCGACGAAUAUAUGCAAUAUUGUUCCCUCCAAUCCCAAUGAUAUCCUCAGCAUAAGAAAUUGGUACUUGAAUAGUUUGUGUUAUCUGAGCAACUAUGGGAGCACUGGCACGAUUGAGUACAGAAGAACGUAUUGAUGAAACUGCAGGAUCUUGGCCAUAGAGUGAAAUUCUGGAAGGUGGGAUAUGUGACUCCAACGAAUUUUCUAGUUCAAAGAACAAAGUUUCCCUCUUCGCUGAAAGAGGAUAAUCAGUAUCACUUCCACCUUGAGAAGUAGCGUGCAGCAAUGACUUAUCACUCCAUGUCUGUGCUUGGCGGUCCUGUGAGAUUAUUGCAUUGUAAUUCUUUUCAAAAAGAGGAAGAACACUAUGAUCAACCAAAAACUUCCUCAAGUGACCCACUAUUGCUUGUAAAGCCUUAAGAACCUUCAAGGCUUCUCCCUGCAAAUCUACAAUCCUCUCAUCUGCAGCAACAUAAAAUGGCACUUCAUCUUCCGACAAUACCCGCACAGAUGCACCACUGCUCUCUUGUAUUGCCCUGAUUACCGAGCCCUGCUUUCCAAUCAAACUAAUAGCCUGUGUUGAUGCCACCAACAACCGAAAUGAACAAAAAGCAAUGCCCGCAGCUCCAGAUUCUUCAGCAUCACCCUCAGGUAAUCCAGUAACACGUUUAAAAAUUCUUAUCACAGCAUUCAUUGCAGGGGAUAGAGGUGCCUCCGGCUCUUCCUUUCCAGAUAUCAACACUACUUGGUCGGGAAUGCCAAUGGGCGCAUCAAGAACUCGAAUGCGAGCUCGAGUUUCAUCGCACAGCUUCUUGAUAAGGUCACCCUUACGGCCAAUAAUGCUGCCCACUUUAAGCACGGGCACUAUCAACCUGAACACACAAUCCCCAGGCCAUCCAGGCCACCUCACGCUCGUAUUGGCAGUGCCGGUGGAAGGUUGCAGUGUAGAAUAAAUAGAAUCGGCCUCAGAAUUUGUUUCUGCUGGUGGUGCUUCAAUGUUUUGUGUGUCGGAUUCUAACGGAUUUUCGGGAGCCGUUGGCUGUGGUCUCUGGUUUUGCGGUGGUGGCCAUGGCCAUUGAAGAGAUAAAGAGAGAGAGAGAGAGAGUGAAAUUUGGGUUAAGGUUUUAGUAAGG